GGGUCAGUAGGUUGGUCGUGCCACCGGUACGUACUGGUCUCACUGUUUCCUCCUUCCUGAUGAACCGUAAUGCCAUUAAUUUGGUGUUGCGGGGAAACAGGACUGUUACUUUGAAAAAAUUAGAGUGUUUAAAGCAAGCUAACGCUUGAAUACAUUAGCAUGGAAUAAUGAAAUAGGACGAUCGAUCCUAUUUUGUUGGUUUCUAGGAUUGACGUA
RNAcentral lists this ribosomal RNA (216 nucleotides) under Glomeromycotina sp. RNAcentral describes it as "partial small subunit ribosomal RNA". The stretch from base 40 to 216 matches the Rfam family "Eukaryotic small subunit ribosomal RNA", at positions 686 to 864 of the family's 1831-position model. The record is from RNAcentral. Lineage: Eukaryota; Fungi; Glomeromycota.